Molecule: unclassified non-coding RNA, 215 nt
Filed under: soil metagenome
Description: partial contains 5.8S ribosomal RNA, internal transcribed spacer 2, and large subunit ribosomal RNA
Source: RNAcentral
AACCAUAGAAACCUGCGGAGUACCUGCGGAGGGAUCAUUACAAGUGACCCCGGUCUAACCACCGGGAUGUUCAUAACCCUUUGUUGUCCGACUCUGUUGCCUCCGGGGCGACCCUGCCUUCGGGCGGGGGCUCCGGGUGGACACUUCAAACUCUUGCGUAACUUUGCAGUCUGAGUAAACUUAAUUAAUAAAUUAAAACUUUCAGCAAUGGAUCU